UUAACUGCUUUAUGCUAAAGAAAUUGCGAACAAUCAUACACUUAUCGUUAUACCCUACAAUUAAUUUUCAGAGCGCGUUAAUAAUCGUCUUAAAUAGAAAUCCAUAAUGUUAAUUUUCUAGCCUGUUAUGUCAACUAUUUUUCCCCAUUCAGUUUUUUCAUUGACACUCAACGACACAGAUUGAGAUCUCGUUUGUUACAAGAGAGACUGUUUGCUCGCAGAGAUUUCUUCAGUGAGUUUACAGUAGUUGGCCCGCCGUAGCAGAAACAUUCUAUGUGUCCGCAGAGAAGGCUACAAAAUGAGAUCGCUGCUGGCCUCAGCGAAAGCGAGGAUGCGAUACUAACGUAGAGUGCAAACCCAAGCACUUUGACUUGGGCACAUGUUGUGCCAACUCAGCGAAAAUGCAAGCUCAUAUCAUCAAAAGGAGGAGAGGCAAGGAAGCGAGAUUAAGCCCUUGUUCGACAGCUGGCAACGUAUAUCAUACGUAAUACACGUACGGUUCGUAACAUGGAGGAGCAAUGUGUUGAGGAAGUGCGCUCAGAAAGAACAUUUUUAUUUAUUAUACAGUUCCGCGCAUGAAUAAAUGGUCACGAUGAUGAAAUAUACCCAAUGUUACUAUGUUAGUUAUAAUCUUUACUUCCUCCUCGCACUUACGAAUGAUUUUUAUGAUAUGAAUUUGUAUUAUGAAAUGAAGGUUCGUUAAAAUUUUAUCAAUUAACAAAGUACUUAGAGGAGCCACGCAUCAUCUUGUAUGUAAUGUUUACAACCUAUAACAAGCUUCGCUUGUCAAUGUUCCUUACAGCAAUGAAAGAGCUUCUCAAAAGUUAUCAAAAGAUAUUCUAGAACGAGUUAAAAAUUCAUCGAGCUUUUAGAACGAACGUUUCGACUAAGCGGUCGAAUUCAACCCUUUAGCUUAAUCUCAGUGUGCAACAGAGUUUUUCGAGUUACAGAUACAACGAUGAAGGGUGGCGGAGAGGAUGGUAGCGAGGGAGGUGAAGGAGAUGAGGGAGGAGAGGGGGAAAGCAGAGCAAGGGUGGGGCAACGAAGCUGCCGGUGGGAUGGGGAGCUAUGAGGGCGAAGUUAUCCAAUUAUUGUCUAACCUGGGAGCAACUUUACUUGGCGGAGAACCGUUGGUGGGAGGGAAGCUCGUCCUGCCAGCUCUCUCCCUUCCUACAAUCGAGCCACGAUAAAGUAAAGUUUGUUUCAAAACUUACCGCGCGGAGAGGUGACUAGGUUUUUGUUAGUGACACGUGAAAUUCAAACGACUUCAAUGCGAUAAUAAUCGCGGCAAAUUUUUUUAUAUCGACCGGCAAGAUGAGACGGUGUAUUCAGAUUCAAGAAGGAUCCCAUAAAUUAAGUCAAAGGUUCAUUAAUAAUACGAUCGCUACGAAACUUUUUCAGCGUGAACAUUCAAGAAUACGGCCACGUCUUAUGAAUAUGUAAUUAAGCAAAAGAAGAUAUAGCUAUUAAUUAAUUAAGAAUUGCAUUAUCCUUAAGUUUAAAUUUAACUAAUCGCAAAUUAGGAUAAGUUACAUUAUACGUUUACUUUGAGCACAGAUUUCUGUUAUUAUAUAAUAAGAGUGUUAAUAUAUUUGUAAAAGAUAUGUACAUGCAUCUUUUAUUCUUGUUUCUUGAAGUCAUACAAUAUAACGAUAUUGUAAAGGACGGAUGUGUUAAAUAUUCCGUGAUAAAUAUUUCUAUUAAUAUGCAUAAGGAGUUAAUUAGAAUCAAACCAUUUCGUUAUAACAAAACCAUUAUUAUUUGAAAUUCGGUAUUAGGAAUGCUCAUUGAUAGCGAGCUAAAAAUAAACAAGUCUAUUAGGAAUAGUACACUAGCGAUAACAUUCGUUAUAAUGACGCAUAUGGCAUCGUGGAAACCUUUUUAAAGCGAUGUAUUGUUAGCACCAAUAGAUACGUAUUUUAGGUCAGUUUUAAACACAAAUCACGUCAUUAUUUUAAUUACUAUUCUAAAUGUUGAACAUAUAUAUAUUUUAACUUCUCUCAUGUUUCUUGGAUAGAUCCGGUAUAUUAUGCGCACGUAAAUUUAUCGGUUAUAAAACAAUAUCAAUUUUUAAAAAAUUCUUCUACAUGCUCGGAAAUUUCAUGUAAUUAACCAAAAACCAAAAUCAAUCUUCA
This is a long non-coding RNA of Bombus terrestris (buff-tailed bumblebee), 2135 nucleotides long. RefSeq lists it as uncharacterized. NCBI's taxonomy places the organism in Eukaryota, Metazoa, Arthropoda, Insecta, Hymenoptera, Apidae. The record is from RefSeq and is a predicted model, not a curated record. The transcript has 3 exons.